UCUCCGUUGGUGAAUCAGCGGAGGGAUCAUUACCGAGUUUACAACUCCCAAACCCCAUGUGAACCUUACCAAACGUUGCUUCGGCGGGAUGCCCCGGGCGCGGGCCGCAAGGCCUCAGCCCCGGAACCAGGCGCCCGCCGGAGGCCCAAACCAAACUCUUGUUUUUGUAGAAUCUUCUGAGUGGCCUUUUAGGCAAAAAAUGAAUCAAAACUUUCAACAACGGAUCUCUUGGUUCUG
Molecule: unclassified non-coding RNA, 237 nt
Filed under: plant metagenome
Description: partial contains small subunit ribosomal RNA, internal transcribed spacer 1, and 5.8S ribosomal RNA
Source: RNAcentral